Non-coding RNA from Pocillopora verrucosa, 663 nucleotides. The record is from RefSeq and is a predicted model, not a curated record. Lineage: Eukaryota; Metazoa; Cnidaria; Anthozoa; Scleractinia; Pocilloporidae.
AAAUAUUUACCUACAGGUUCCUCCUGAAUGGCUUUCAAAAUUCCAACUACCAUCGAGGUUCUCUGCCUCAGUAGAGUUGGAUACCCAGAAGGGAUAUCUCAUCAGCAGUACUCUGAGCAACAGUGGAUUGCAAAAAAAAAUUAUUGCAGAGUAUCCUUGUAUGGUUAGCAGGAUACUAGACUAAGUUGACUUGGAAACUGAAUGGAUUGGUAUGGUCUAAAAAUCUAUUGCUUCACCUCUUCUGCUUGCAGUGAAGAGAGAGAAUUUUGUGGUGCUGAAUCUCUUGCCUUAAAAUAAAAAGUUGCAAAAUAAUCACUCUCACCUUUUAAGUUCAUGACCUUUGUUCUUGUGUGUUUGUCAUCACAUGCAUUUAAUGAAGUUGUGACCAUUUUGGAGGUACAAGUCCAAAAAACUGCUACUUUGGUACUAAGAUGAACAGCUAAAAUUUCUGAGCCCAUUUGCCAAUGAAGUCCAGAUACAAAGGUUCAAGUACUUUGGGGUUGUAUUAAUUUUGCCUUUUUGUUUAGUUUUUUUGAUUUUGCAAUUUUUUAAAAUAUUCCUGUUGUCAAACCAUUAGAUAAAUAUUGGACAUAGAAUAGCUGAUUUUUUUCAGAUAUUUUGGGAGUCAUACAUUAGUUUUUCAAGUCUUGAAUGGGAGACAAA